This is a long non-coding RNA of Strigops habroptila (Kakapo), 3775 nucleotides long. RefSeq lists it as uncharacterized. NCBI's taxonomy places the organism in Eukaryota, Metazoa, Chordata, Aves, Psittaciformes, Psittacidae. The transcript is spliced from 2 exons. The record is from RefSeq and is a predicted model, not a curated record.
GCAGCUGCUUAAACUCCACAGUGGAAGCUGCCGAAAGUUAUUAGCAUUAUGCUUCGAUCUCUCUGAAAUGGUGGCUUUGAUUUCUAUGCUGCUUUGCUUUUUAUAUGUGAUUUUAAAAUACUUUUAUUGUUAUUUUUUUCAACAGCGGAAGGUGACGAAUGACCGGGUGAGCCACCAGCCCAGGCAAUUAGGAUGGGGCUGCCUUUUUGAGCCUGGGGAGCAGCUGCUGCUGUGGCUUUGUAGCUUUGUGGCUGGUGUGAGGUGAGGCAGAGGGGCCAGUGGAGGAGAGCUGAGCUGCAGUGACGGUCAGGUCUGGGCCCCACUGUGCUCGGUUUGGGUCUAACUCGGUGCAGGUCAGCAAUUAAUGGCCUUAAAGGGCAACCCAGGGAUGGCCCCAAGGUGUUUGGCUGGAGUUCAGUUUGCAGUGGUCAGAGACAGGCACUUUUUGGACAAAUCAGUGAGCAACGAAUGGGGAAAUAGGGAUUUCAGUUUGGUGCUGGGGUGAAGAGGGGUUUAUUACCCAUUUGACUGCUUCCCAUUACCCCUUUGAAACCAUGGUGUGGUAUAAUGGGAGCAGUAACAACACCUCAGCCCCCAUGGGCAGGGCCCUUAGGGUCGGUGGGGUGACUCCCCUCUGCUGCUGUGUCACCCACUGGAGACAGCCAUGACUGUAUGGGGAAGGAGCAGUGCAUGGUGAGGCCACCUUGGCUUUGGGUCCCUCCAGACUGAUUUUUCCGGCCCAUUCACUGAGUUACACACACAUUCUUGUAUCUAUGUGGGCAGACAAUUCUAAUUUAUAUUAUUUGGCAUAACGAAGCGCUACUGGGGAGCUAGGGUUUGGAGCACUGCUUGGGUCCCAGAACAAAUGUGGUCAGUGGGAUUUUGGAAGCACUCUGGCCCAGAGUCCUUGCAUGGCUGUGCUGGUUGACUUUGGCAGGGCUAAUGUUGCCGUUUUUAACCUGAUUUGAAGAGCAGGUUUCUGACCUGCUCCUAAAGCUGUUUGAAACCUGGCCCCACUGCAGAGCAAGCGGCAGGGCACCGUGGCAGGAGCUGAACAGAGUGCCUCGAUGGCAAUCAAACUGGCUUAUGUAAUUCUAAAAAUGGCAACUCCUUACUUGCCACAUCUCUUUCUGUUCUAUGCGGAGAGUCCUGCAGAGCUGCCAAACAGAAGCAAUUGAAUGAACUCUUUUCCCGGCUCAUUCCUCCUUCCGCAGCUCGGAGAAAGUGAGCCAGAGCCUAUUCUAGUUUGCCUGUCAACAGGAAUGGUAACUAACGGCUCGAUCCCAGCCAGGCUUUAUGCCCCAAAAACACUGCCUGCCUGUGAGGAGCGGAGAGAGAGACAUCAUGGGUGAAGUCUAGCUCCUGGUGCGAGACUGGUCUGGCCCAGGAGGCAGUCAAGGAGUUGGCAGAGUCCACAUCGUGCCCGAAGGCAAGCAGGAGAUUGUUGAAGGGAUGUCCCCAUCCACUGCAGAGCAGGACUUCAUGGACUGCAAGGUCCCGAGGUGACAGUGACAGCAACACAUUGCCUCCUUCCUCCGGAGCACGUGGUACCAGGUGGGCUGCAGCAUCCCUGUCCCUGGUGGUGGUGGUGAAGUUGAAGAGAACUUGGCAGGACUCCCAGAUUGACUGGUGAACCUGCUGGUGUGCCACUUGGGCACAAGAAAAGUGCUGAUUUCACUGCAGAAGACAUGAGGUAGAAGAACCACUAAAAAACCCUCCCAACAAUCAGAGCCCAAACUAAAAAUCCAGACCUUGUUAGUGCUGGAAAAAACUUUAACGCACAACCCAAGUAUUCCCUGAAUGUUCAAGAACACCCACAAAUUCUGUAAAAAUAGCUGAUAAUUUAUUUAUUUGAUUUAUUUAUGAGCCUGGCUUGUGAUUUUGGGGUGGUGGUGGGGCUGGAGUUAGUGGUGCUGAUGAAAAACCGAUUUAGAGACAGUCCUAGGCGAGACAUCAGCUUUGGGGAGCAGGGCUCAGGCUCUUCCUCACGAAACACAGGGCAUUGUAGGACCCACUAAGGUGUCUCAGACCUCUUGAGUGAGGAGGACCCCACUGCGGUAACUGUUUCUUCCUAGGGAGCUAUAGGCUUUUGGCCUUACAGUUCAUGGAUGAGGCUGGUGUGCCAUGGCCAGUAUAUGUUGGAGGGACUGGCUCAUCUCUUCCUGCUUACACACCUGGGUUGACCAAGGGUAGAUGUGUUGUGGUGAGCAUUAGCUGCCCCUCAUCCUUCCCAUCUCUAUUGGGCUGUGCUACUGGAUGACCCCCAGUACUGGUGAACCUGACUAUGGGAUAUAUUCUUGUCCCUUAUGUGAGGGUCUGAUGGGUGCUGCCUCUGAUGUCCAUCGCAAAACCAAACCAUUGAUCUCUGCUGCUUUAGGUGGAUAGAAUAAAACCCCCUUCCCUGUUCCCAGAGUUCACCACCACGUUCACUUCAAGCCUUUGAGCUAUUUCUCUCCUCCUUUCUCCCUUCCAGUGCAUGCUUCUCCUCUCCAGCUGACAGCCUGGGACAGCCCCCCGAGAUCAGCUGCUUGUGGAGCUCUCUCUGCCGAAAGCAGUCCUAAACGGUGUGGCCUUUGUUCCCCCCCAGCUGUCGUAUCCUCCGGGAUCUGCAACAAGUCCUCGUUUUACAGACCCCGUCUUGACAGUCCCCAAUCUGAUCUGACCACCUGGUUUGUUUUUGAAUCGAGCUCUUGAGUCAUAACAUUUCUGUUUAUUUCAACAACUGUAUUCCUUGCAUAGGAAAUGAGCCAAGAUGGUCUAAGGCGGGGAGAGCGAAGCAUGUCGUGGUUGUAAUUGCUUUUGCUCUUCCCAUAUACAAUUUUACAGUAUAAUCAAAAUCUUAUUUUUGUACUGCUGGACUCUGUUAUUGACUUAAUCUUCUUAAGUGCUCCUAUUAUUCCAGUGAUUUCAUCGUUGCAUGUUGAUUUUAAUCUUUUGAUCUCCAUAUUAGCUACUGCCUGCAACUAAUUUGUUGCUCAGUGUUUUUCUUUGUUUUGACCUGCGAGGCAUUUUCCUCAUGGCACACAACUCUGCUGGCAGAUUGCAUAUAAUCUCUGCACUUUUUUUCCUCCCAUAUUUUGCAUAGUUACAACAAAUGCAGAUUUACAACUUGAAAUGGAAUAUGUAUCUUUUAGAAAGGCUGAGGAAAAUAUCACUUCAGGUUUUUUAGCUCAAAGAGCCUAAAUGUGCUUGAAUAAAGGAAAUGCCGCUAGACACAGCUCACCAGUGAGAGGCGUCAUGCAGGCUUUUUAGUCCAGCAAGUUCAGAAUGGGGAGUAACCACACUUAUUGUAACUUAUAUUAUAUGCAGUCAGAGAUCAAAGAGGUUCUGAAAGCAUUGCUAGACCCAAGGUGAAGAAGGUUGGGUUUGGUGAGUGGCUGAAGGGACUCUCCUAGCUGGACUCCAUGCAGUGGUGGCUCUGCUGCAUUGUGACACCAUGGGGCAGGCUUUUGUGCCAACAUUGGUGAUGGUGGUUGUGGUAGUGCAGAGUUGUGAACUUUGAAGUGCAGAGGUUCAAAUGUGGCUCAGCUGCAUUUUGGUUGGCCAAUAGAUGACUUCUUUUUGCCUUGGUAGUUGAUGGUUUAACCUGUGCUGAUUUAUGAGUCCCUUUGUUUGCUUUAGCUUUUCCUUUUAAAGCUCAGAGAGGAGAUUUUUGCCUUAGGUUUGCUGUGAGUCUUUUAAAAAGAACACAGCCUGAACAUUGACAAAAUCAUCCUUGCUUUACUGCAUGGCUGUUUAUGCUUCUGAACACAAAUUGUCUUCUAAUAUUUUUGAC